Molecule: ribosomal RNA, 253 nt
Filed under: uncultured bacterium
Lineage: Bacteria
Description: partial 16S ribosomal RNA
Rfam family: Bacterial small subunit ribosomal RNA
Source: RNAcentral
UACGGAGGGUGCGAGCGUUGUCCGGAAUCACUGGGCGUAAAGGGCGCGUAGGCGGCUGGGGAAGUCGGCGGUGAAAGCCCGGAGCUCAACUCCGGGUCGGCCGUCGAGACUCCUCGGCUCGAGCUCACUAGAGGCAGAUGGAAUUCCGGGUGUAGCGGUGGAAUGCGUAGAGAUCCGGAAGAACACCGGUGGCGAAGGCGGUCUGCUGGGGUGAGGCUGACGCUGAGGCGCGACAGCGUGGGGAGCAAACAGG